GACGAACGCUGGCGGCGUGCUUAACACAUGCAAGUCGAACGGAAAGGCCCUGCUUUUGUGGGGUGCUCGAGUGGCGAACGGGUGAGUAACACGUGAGUAACCUGCCCUUGACUUUGGGAUAACUUCAGGAAACUGGGGCUAAUACCGGAUAGGAGCUCCUGCUGCAUGGUGGGGGUUGGAAUGUUUCGGCGGUUGGGGAUGGACUCGCGGCUUAUCAGCUUGUUGGUGGGGUAGUGGCUUACCAAGGCUUUGACGGGUAGCCGGCCUGAGAGGGUAACCGGCCACAUUGGGACUGAGGUACGGCCCAGACGCCAACGUGAGGCAGCAGUGGGAAAUAUUACACAAUGGGCGGACGCCUGAUACAGCAACGCCGCGUGCGGAAUGACGGCCUUCGGGUGAUGAACCGCUUUCGCCUGUGACGAAGCGUGAGUGACGGUAAUGGGUAAAGAAGCUCCGGCUAACUACGUG
RNAcentral lists this ribosomal RNA (468 nucleotides) under uncultured bacterium. Its description in RNAcentral is "partial 16S ribosomal RNA". It matches the Rfam family "Bacterial small subunit ribosomal RNA", at positions 28 to 507 of the family's 1533-position model. The record is from RNAcentral.